Long non-coding RNA from Chenopodium quinoa (quinoa), 1655 nucleotides. RefSeq lists it as uncharacterized. The record is from RefSeq and is a predicted model, not a curated record. NCBI's taxonomy places the organism in Eukaryota, Viridiplantae, Streptophyta, Magnoliopsida, Caryophyllales, Amaranthaceae. The transcript is spliced from 4 exons.
UUGUAGCUGACCUUAAACUGCCCGCUACUAAAACCUUUAACCUAUUUUUUUUAUUUUUUAUUUUUUUUAUUUUUUUAUUUUUUUUUCCCAAAGGAGAAGUACUACUUGUUUUUUUUUUUUCCGCCCAACCUUAGCUUCUCCUCCUCCUCCUUCACUCUUCUUCAUCUUCUAUGAGGGCUGCGAUUUUGAGCCGAUUUUGAGGGCUCGAAUCCCACCAUUUUUACUAUCUCUUCCUUUUAAAUCUGCUUCUUUGUAUUCUCUGUUCAUUCAAGAUAUGUUGAUUUGUUGUUUUUCGCGAAUUGAUUUUACGUUGGGUUGCGCGGAAUGGAAGCUUGAUUCGGAAUUGAUUCUGAUUUUGGGGGUUUUAAUGUUUGUGAAUCAAGUUGAUUUGUUGUGUUGAUAUUCGAAAUUCGAUGAGAUUUGUGGUUCCUCGCUAUUGUUGUUGUUGUUCAUCGUCUAGGGUUUGCGAUUUCCUCUUUUACAAUGACUUUCGCUUCCCAAACCAAUCGUCUGGUGAGAAAGUAAUUUACAAGUGAAGUUGAUUCUGCAAUUGCUGCAUUUAGGGGGUUGUCUGUGAGCUCAUGAGGAAGUUAGGCAGACCUUACCCAGUUAUUUCGAGUUGCUGCUCACUAAGCCAAAAAAUCUCGGUCUCAAAAUCGAAUAUUAAGAUUGCAGGUGGUAGAGAACAUUAGGAGAGUUUGUGACUUAAAAAGCUAAGCUGUAAGGUAAAGGGACUCACAUGGGGAAUCUGGGAUGCACAGAUUAUCGAAUUGCAUCCCCUAAUAUUACUUGGGGCUGAUGUAUUGUAUGAUACCAGUGGUAUGAGAAACCUAUGCCUUUCUUUUUGGGCCUUUAAUCUUUAUACUAGUAAACGCUUACACUAAUGCCCUACUUGUUUCGUUUAAGCUACCCUUUGAUGAUCUCUUCAACAACAUUGCAUCCAACCUCAAUAUGAGCAUGGAGCACAACUUCCUGAUGAUCUAGAUUCAAAAAAAUUUCCAACUCAAACCAAUGCAUCUAGACGAUUACAAGUUAAUCUGAAAUGAAUAGCACUUUUGCUAGCUUGAAAUAGAGACUGAUUGUGAAUUUUAAUAUUGCAGACCUCAUAUUAAUUUCAUUUUAUUUUAUUGUUUGCUACUGCAUUUCUCUUGUUUUUAAUUCAAAUUUACUAGUUAUGGGUUGCAGUUUCAGACCAUGUGUAUUUGUAUGAAUAGCUACUGGCCAUGUGAAAUCAAAUGCUUGGUAUUGUACGUGUUGUAUGUGGGUGUAUGUAGUGUAUUAAUGUUGUGUUAUUGGGUUGCAUUAAAAUCAGUGUGUGUAUUUCUCUCAUUAAAACCCGAAACUCAAGUAUCUAGGUUCUUUCACCGUAUAUUUUUGUUGUAUUUUUUAGAUGAAUCUCUAAUCUAUUGUUGUUUAUUGUAGUUGUAUUGGAGGAAAAUUAACAGCGAAUUCAGUCAAUUUGAGUCGUUCGUGUAGCUGCUCCACUAUUGCUCAUAAAUUUCAUUGUUCUGAGACGCUUUUGUUGUUGUGUUAAAGAGCCUUGUAUUAUAUUUGUUAAUUUUUUUUUGAGGGAAUUGUAUUUUUUAAUUUGUAAUUAUACUUCAUAAAUAACAUAAGUUUUGUUACAAUAGUAUAUAAUAUAGUUUGUGUAUCAA